AUUGAACGCUGGCGGCAUGCCUUACACAUGCAAGUCGAACGGCAGCACGGGAGCAAUCCUGGUGGCGAGUGGCGAACGGGUGAGUAAUAUAUCGGAACGUGCCCAGUCGUGGGGGAUAACGUAGCGAAAGCUACGCUAAUACCGCAUACGAUCUAUGGAUGAAAGCGGGGGAUCGCAAGACCUCGCGCGAUUGGAGCGGCCGAUAUCAGAUUAGGUAAGUUGGUGAGGUAAAGGCUCACCAAGCCGACGAUCUGUAGCUGGUCUGAGAGGAUGAUCAGCCACACUGGGACUGAGACACGGCCCAGACUCCUACGGGAGGCAGCAGUGGGGAAUAUUGGACAAUGGGCGAAAGCCUGAUCCAGCAAUGCCGCGUGAGUGAUGAAGGCCUUCGGGUUGUAAAGGUACUCUUUUUA
Molecule: ribosomal RNA, 413 nt
Filed under: uncultured bacterium
Lineage: Bacteria
Description: bacterial SSU rRNA
Rfam family: Bacterial small subunit ribosomal RNA
Source: RNAcentral